This 63-nucleotide transfer RNA is filed under the name Fukomys damarensis (Damara mole-rat). It matches the Rfam family "tRNA", at positions 1 to 62 of the family's 71-position model. Rfam says of the family: Transfer RNA (tRNA) molecules are approximately 80 nucleotides in length. Their secondary structure includes four short double-helical elements and three loops (D, anti-codon, and T loops). Further hydrogen bonds mediate the characteristic L-shaped molecular structure. tRNAs have two regions of fundamental functional importance: the anti-codon, which is responsible for specific mRNA codon recognition, and the 3' end, to which the tRNAs corresponding amino acid is attached (by aminoacyl-tRNA synthetases). tRNAs cope with the degeneracy of the genetic code in two manners: having more than one tRNA (with a specific anti-codon) for a particular amino acid; and 'wobble' base-pairing, i.e. permitting non-standard base-pairing at the 3rd anti-codon position. The record is from Rfam by way of RNAcentral. Lineage: Eukaryota; Metazoa; Chordata; Mammalia; Rodentia; Bathyergidae.
GGGGAUGUAGCUCAGUGGUAGAGUGCUUGCUUGGCAUGCACAAGGCCCUGGUUUCCAUUCCCA